This 492-nucleotide ribosomal RNA is filed under the name uncultured bacterium. RNAcentral's name for it is "partial 16S ribosomal RNA". It matches the Rfam family "Bacterial small subunit ribosomal RNA", at positions 30 to 507 of the family's 1533-position model. The record is from RNAcentral.
AUUGAACGCUGGCGGUAGGCCUAACACAUGCAAGUCGAACGGCAGCACAGUAAGAGCUUGCUCUUACGGGUGGCGAGUGGCGGACGGGUGAGGAAUACAUCGGAAUCUACUUUUUCGUGGGGGAUAACGUAGGGAAACUUACGCUAAUACCGCAUACGACCUACGGGUGAAAGCAGGGGAUCUUCGGACCUUGCGCGAUUGCAUGAGCCGAUGUCGGAUUAGCUAGUUGGCGGGGUAAAGGCCCACCAAGGCGACGAUCCGUAGCUGGUCUGAGAGGAUGAUCAGCCACACUGGAACUGAGACACGGUCCAGACUCCUACGGGAGGCAGCAGUGGGGAAUAUUGGACAAUGGGCGCAAGCCUGAUCCAGCCAUACCGCGUGGGUGAAGAAGGCCUUCGGGUUGUAAAGCCCUUUUGUUGGGAAAGAAAAGCAGCAGGUUAAUACCCCGCUGUUCUGACGGUACCCAAAGAAUAAGCACCGGCUAACUUCGUG